AACCAAGUCUAAGUAUGUUUCUAAGGUACAGCCUCUGUUCUCCAGCGUAGAUCUGACAAUGAGGAGUACGUCGAGGUUGGUCGUCUGGGGCCAUCCGACUACUUUGGUGAGAUCGCCCUGCUGCUGAACAGGCCGCGGGCGGCCACAGUGGUGGCCCGGGGACCCCUGAAGUGUGUGAAGCUGGACCGGCCCCGCUUCGAACGGGUCCUGGGGCCCUGCUCGGAGAUCCUAAAGAGGAACAUCCAGAGAUACAACAGCUUCAUCUCUCUCACCGUGUGAGGGGCCCCCGGGGGCCAAAUGGGGAGGGAAAGGUGCGGAUGGGUGGGGCAGGGGGGUUCCGCUGACAGGGCUUCUUCCUGACUUUUGUUCUUUUGGCUCUGUUCUUCUAAUUCUGAUCUUCUUCUUGUCCUUCACUUUGACCUGUACUGUCUCUGUAGCUCUAUGGAAAUGAACAAUGAAACAUGUGGGAUGAAUGUGGAGAGGACGGACACACAGUGUGGAUGUACUUUAAAUGGCUCAUAUGUUACAGGGGUCAUAUAUGUUUACUGAAUAUGAUACAUGCUUGGAGAAUGCAAUGAAUGGAGGUAGAUUGCACUUGUAUGUAUUUUAUGAGGAAAACUAUAACAGAGGAGGGGUGGGGUAAUUCAGGAAGGGAAGUCAUGAAUUCAGGAAGUGAUGUCAUGUUUACGUACAGCGAUGGAGGAAGUUGGGUGUCUUUGCGCGCUGGUUGUAGUUUUUUGCCUUUUCGCUUUAGGGUCCUGGUCGUUGGUCCGUGGUUGCCAUUUCUAUGUCAAAUCAACCCACUACCUGAUGACACAGGCCUUUGUUUCCUAAAAACUAGAGGUAGAUGUAAAAACAACUUUUAUUCUUGUCUGUUUCAUUGAUCUCAAUGCUUUUUAACUGUGCUUGUGUUGCUGGUACGAAUGACGAUGGGGUGUUUGUUAGAAGUUAUAUUUUGAAUAGGGGUUUUAUUGAUGGAUGCUGCAAAUGUGCCAUGUGAAGGAGUGUGGCUUUUAUUUUGUAAAGAUACCUCCAUUCUGAUGUUCAAUCUGAAUCUGAAUCUGUAAAUUGUUCCAAAGGCGCAAUAGUGUUUGUUAGAUUAACACACACACACACACUCUCUCAAACACAUAACA
Molecule: long non-coding RNA, 1136 nt
Organism: Oncorhynchus gorbuscha (pink salmon)
Lineage: Eukaryota; Metazoa; Chordata; Actinopteri; Salmoniformes; Salmonidae
Exons: 3
Source: RefSeq, a predicted model, not a curated record